CCUUAAGCUCCGGUAGAUUGCAAAUAACCUGCUUUCUUUCUGUUCCCGAGCUGCCUUCGGACCCGUCGGAUCGUAAAUCCCACGUAAGGUACCUGCCGUCGGAAGAUUUGAACUUUCUACUUGGACACCUAAUACCCACAGUCCUCCAGCUGCGUUCGGACCCGUCGGAUCGUAAAUCCCACGUAAGGUCGGAAGAUUUGAACUUUCUACUUGGACACCUAACACCCACAGUCCUCCAGCUGCGUUCGGACCCGUCUGAUCGUAAAUCCCAUGUAAGGUACCUGCCGUCGGAAGAUUUGAACGUUCUACUUGGACACCUAAAACCCACAGUCCUCCAGACAGAAAGACAACAGGUACAAAGCCCUAAGGAUUAUAAAGGUAUGCUGCUUACCAUCAUCUUAGUGACCAAGGCAGCGAAGCUGUUUCUGUACCUUGGAACAGUCUUCCCUGACAAGCCAGAGAACAGUGAUAAAGCCACCAGCCUUGGGAUCAGGACUGAAAAGGCAAGAGUGAUGGAGAUUUCUCCUGCGCUAAGCCAAGAGAAGGUUUCAGCACUUCAGACAGCUCCCACCGAAGUAGCCGCGCUCCCAGCUGCUUGCAGAUGUUGAAAAGGAAAGCCUCGGUUUGUCUUGAGGUUGUCAGCAGGUGCAAGACACGUAAUAAAAUGCAAUGUGUUCCUAAUUCAUUGCAUAUCCUCAGCUUUAAAUUUGGGUAGCAAAAUGAUUACUCUAGAUUCUUCAGUCUUGGCAAGUAUCUGUACCUAAAAAGCAGUUUUUCUACCUAAUGUCUUUUUUUGUUUUUGUUUUUCAAUACACCUUAAGCAAAUUGAAGCUUUUGUUCCUGGAGGAAAAGUGGUUUGAUAUGUUCAUCUAUCUUUUAGUAAAUUUGGGGGCAUAACUUUUCCAAUUCUGAGGAACUUUUCUAAGAAGAGUGCAUAAAAGUUUGUUGUUGUUUUUAAAGGAUGCAACAUUCAGCCUGUGUCAUGAGUUUAAUUAUACAAUUUAAAGGACAUAUGUGCAAUGCAUUUUGCAGAUGUGUGCCGGAUAUAUAUGUGCAGAUAAUGGGCAAGUAUAUAUGUGUGCAUAUAUAUAUCGGGAGUAUACUAUAUAAACACACAAUACACGCCCACCCACACACAUUGUGUAUUUUCCAGAAAAAAAAAAAAAAGCAUGUCAGGACUUACAUCUAAGUUAGAGAUGCUGUUUAGAACCCCAUUAAAAAAUGUACAUGUUAUAUCCCUGAUUUGUUUCUCAGGACACCUGUGUUUAUGUGAGAAUCAUUUCUAGACACAUGUCACAAUAAAAAGAAGGACAUGUAUACUCCAAGUUAAGAUUUUUUAAAAAAAGAUGGAGAUCAUCUGAAAUAAAAUUCAGAGCUCUUGCCUUUCCUUUCUCCUAGCGACACCUAGAGCCUGUUGAGAAAAAAACUGCACAUUGUUCUCACUCCAAACAUCCACAAUUCAACAAUUUUAAGUCAGAUUUAAGGAUAAUCACCACCACCACCGCUGGGGGGAAAAAGUGUCUAGGAGAAGUAAGAAGAGGAACGAAGGAGAGGCAUUUGAGUCAAGGGACAGAGUGAGUAGGAGAGGAGGGGCACGAUGGAGAGAUUCCAGACACAGGUGGGAGGGAGAGAAGGUGCCUGAGGCUGUGUUCCCGGAGCACGAAAUAAAUAAAAAAUAAACCAACUCGUAAGCACAGGCCGAUCGAAUUCUCUCCUUAGGAACCAUAGCAGCAUGCUGUUAAAAACAGACAUCCGCACAUCCAGGGAACGUAAGGCGAAUUCCAGAUCCCAGCAGGCGCAGUACCCAAACCCCGCUCUCUCCAGCCACCAACUCCCGGCCGCCGCGGCUGCAGACACAGACCCGCUCCCUCCGGGACGGCGAUGACCGCGAUCUGGCGCCACGGAGCCUGUCUGGGGGCGCCCGGAGAGUCGUG
RNAcentral lists this long non-coding RNA (1934 nucleotides) under Homo sapiens (human). RNAcentral describes it as "HSALNT0344060". The record is from RNAcentral. Lineage: Eukaryota; Metazoa; Chordata; Mammalia; Primates; Hominidae.